AUUGAACGCUGGCGGCAUGCCUUACACAUGCAAGUCGAACGGUAACGAGCCUUCGGGUGCCGACGAGUGGCGAACGGGUGAGUAAUACAUCGGAACGUGCCCGAUCGUGGGGGAUAACGAGGCGAAAGCUUUGCUAAUACCGCAUACGAUCUACGGAUGAAAGCAGGGGACCGCAAGGCCUUGCGCGGACGGAGCGGCCGAUGGCAGAUUAGGUAGUUGGUGGGAUAAAAGCUUACCAAGCCGACGAUCUGUAGCUGGUCUGAGAGGAUGAUCAGCCACACUUGGACUGAGGAACGGGCCAGACUCCUUAGGGAGGGCGGAGGUGGGAAUUUUGGACAAAGGGGGGAAGCCUGGUCCAAGCCAGGCGCGUGCAGGAUGAAGGCCUUCGGGUUGUAAACUGCUUUUGUACGGAACGAAAAGCCUUCUUUUAAUACAGGAGGGUCAUGACGGUACCGUAAGAAUAAGCACCGGCUAACUACGUG
RNAcentral lists this ribosomal RNA (482 nucleotides) under uncultured bacterium. Its description in RNAcentral is "partial 16S ribosomal RNA". It matches the Rfam family "Bacterial small subunit ribosomal RNA", at positions 30 to 507 of the family's 1533-position model. The record is from RNAcentral.